UCCCUCCUUCUACAUAUCUUAUCUAUAUAAGAUAAUUAGCUAUAGUGGUCCGUUUUGUUUGUUUCUAAAUUUGCAUAAACUUUAAAGGUGUAGAGAGGAGGUCUUCUUGGGCUUUUUUACCAUCAGAUAUUUCUCUUUCACAAACAAAAAGACAAAAGAAGGUGGAGUAAUUAUAAGCUUUCUUGUCCUCUAUAAACUGAUUU
This is a long non-coding RNA of Arabidopsis thaliana (thale cress), 203 nucleotides long. RefSeq annotates it as other RNA. The transcript has a single exon. Lineage: Eukaryota; Viridiplantae; Streptophyta; Magnoliopsida; Brassicales; Brassicaceae. The record is from RefSeq.